This 934-nucleotide ribosomal RNA is filed under the name uncultured archaeon. RNAcentral describes it as "bacterial SSU rRNA". It matches the Rfam family "Archaeal small subunit ribosomal RNA", at positions 1 to 911 of the family's 1478-position model. The record is from RNAcentral.
UUCCGGUUGAUCCUGCCGGACCCUACUGCUAUCGGGGUGGGACUAAGACAUGCGAGUUGAGCGUCUCUAAGCUAUGGUAGAGACGCGGCGUACGGCUCAGUAACACGUGGCUAACCUACCCUUAGGACGGGGACAACCCCGGGAAACUGGGGCUAAUACCCGAUAGGCGAGGAGGCCUGGAAUGGUUCUUAGUCGAAAAGGCGUUGAAACCAUGCUUUUCGACGUCGCCUAAGGAUGGGGCCGCGCCCGAUCAGGUUGUUGGUGGGGUAACGGCUCACCAAGCCUAUAACCGGUACGGGCCGUGAGAGCGGGAGCCCGGAGAUGGGCACUGAGACAAGGGCCCAGGCCCUACGGGGCGCAGCAGUCGCGAAAACUCCGCAAUGCGCGAAAGCGUGACGGGGCUACCCCGAGUGCCGUCCGCUGAGGAUGGCUUUUCUCCGGUGUAAUGAGCCGGGGGAAUAAGGAGAGGGCAAGUCUGGUGUCAGCCGCCGCGGUAAUACCAGCUCUCCGAGUGGUAGGGAUGAUUAUUGGGCUUAAAGCGUCCGUAGCCGGCUUAGCAAGUCUCCUGUUAAAUUCAGCGACCUAAUCGUUGAGCCGCGGGAGAUACUACUAGGCUAGGAGGCGGGAGAGGCCGACGGUAUUCUCGGGGUAGGGGUGAAAUCCUAUAAUCCCGGGAGGACCACCAGUGGCGAAGGCUGUCGGCUAGAACGCGCUCGACGGUGAGGGACGAAAGCUGGGGGAGCGAACCGGAUUAGAUACCCGGGUAGUCCCAGCUGUAAACGAUGCGGGCUAGGUGUUGGGGUGGCUACGAGCCACUUCAGUGCCGCAGGGAAGCCAUUAAGCCCGCCGCCUGGGGAGUACGGCCGCAAGGCUGAAACUUAAAGGAAUUGGCGGGGGAGCACCACAAGGCGUGAAGCUUGCGGUUCAAUUGGAU